GGGCCUAUAGUCUAACGGUACGACGCGUCCAUGGCAUGGACGAAGCCGGGGUUCGACUCCCCGUAGGUCCA
Molecule: transfer RNA, 71 nt
Filed under: Patescibacteria group bacterium
Lineage: Bacteria
Description: tRNA-Ala
Rfam family: tRNA
About the family: Transfer RNA (tRNA) molecules are approximately 80 nucleotides in length. Their secondary structure includes four short double-helical elements and three loops (D, anti-codon, and T loops).
Source: RNAcentral